RNAcentral lists this ribosomal RNA (253 nucleotides) under uncultured bacterium. RNAcentral's name for it is "partial 16S ribosomal RNA". It matches the Rfam family "Bacterial small subunit ribosomal RNA", at positions 524 to 776 of the family's 1533-position model. The record is from RNAcentral.
UACGUAGGGUGCAAGCGUUAAUCGGAAUUACUGGGCGUAAAGCGUGCGCAGGCGGUUUUGCAAGACAGAUGUGAAAUCCCCGGGCUUAACCUGGGAACUGCAUUUGUGACUGCAAGGCUAGAGUGUGUCAGAGGGAGGUGGAAUUCCGCGUGUAGCAGUGAAAUGCGUAGAGAUGCGGAGGAACACCGAUGGCGAAGGCAGCCUCCUGGGAUAACACUGACGCUCAUGCACGAAAGCGUGGGGAGCAAACAAG